CCUACGGGAGGCAGCAGUGAGGAAUAUUGGUCAAUGGACGAGAGUCUGAACCAGCCAAGUAGCGUGAAGGAUGAAUGCCCUAUGGGUUGUAAACUUCUUUUAUAUGGGAAUAAAAUGUUCCACGUGUGGGAUUUUGUAUGUACCAUAUGAAUAAGGAUCGGCUAACUCUGUGCCAGCAGCCGCGGUAAUACGGAGGAUCCGAGCGUUAUCCGGAUUUAUUGGGUUUAAAGGGAGCGUAGGUGGAUAGUUAAGUCAGUUGUGAAAGUUUGCGGCUCAACCGUAAAAUUGCAGUUGAAACUGGCAGUCUUGAGUACAGUAGAGGUGGGCGGAAUUCGUGGUGUAGCGGUGAAAUGCUUAGAUAUCACGAAGAACUCCGAUUGCGAAGGCAGUUCACUGGACUGCAACUGACACUGAGGCUCGAAAGUGUGGGUAUCAAACAGGAUUAGAUACCCCAGUAGUC
RNAcentral lists this ribosomal RNA (460 nucleotides) under uncultured bacterium. RNAcentral's name for it is "partial 16S ribosomal RNA". It matches the Rfam family "Bacterial small subunit ribosomal RNA", at positions 338 to 795 of the family's 1533-position model. The record is from RNAcentral.